AGCAGCCGCGGUAAUUCCAGCUCCAAUAGCGUAUAUUAAAGUUGUUGCAGUUAAAAAGCUCGUAGUUGAAUUUCGGGGUCAGUAGAUUGGUCGUGCCUCUGGUACGUACUGGUCUUACUGGCUCCUCCUUCCUGAUGAACCGUAAUGCCAUUAAUUUGGUGUUGCGGGGAGACUGGACUGUUACUUUGAAAAAAUUAGAGUGUUUAAAGCAGGCUAACGCUUGAAUACAUUAGCAUGGAAUAAUGAAAUAGGACGUUCGAUCUUAUUUUGUUGGUUUCUAAGAUUGACGUAAUGAUUAAUAGGGAUAGUUGGGGGCAUUAGUAUUCAAUUGUCAGAGGUGAAAUUCUUGGAUUUAUUGAAGACUAACUACUGCGAAAGCAUUUGCCAAGGAUGUUUUCAUUAAUCAAGAACGAAAGUUAGGGGAUCGAAGACGAUCAGAUACCGUCGUAGUCUUAACCAUAAACUAUGCCGACUAGGGAUCGGAUGAUGUUAAUU
RNAcentral lists this ribosomal RNA (495 nucleotides) under uncultured Glomus. RNAcentral describes it as "SSU rRNA". It matches the Rfam family "Eukaryotic small subunit ribosomal RNA", at positions 569 to 1068 of the family's 1831-position model. The record is from RNAcentral. Lineage: Eukaryota; Fungi; Glomeromycota; Glomeromycetes; Glomerales; Glomeraceae.